AAUCUCAUUCUUAUUACUGUAAUGUGAAAAAAGUAUAUGUUAUGUAUGAAGACUUCAACAGAUCUUGCUUACAUUUCAAUAGCCGUUGCUGAUACCGGAAGUAAGUUUACCCUGCGAGGGCCACCCCCAAAGCGAGAAACGCGGAAGUGUGAAAAAGGCCUAUUAUCUGCCUGAUCUCAUGAAAUUUACGUGAACGUGACAACAUUUUUGCAUUUCAUAAUUUACGUGCUGUAUAACAUGUUUGGCUGCAUUUUUCCAGUGGAAUGUCCAGCUGGGGGUGCCAAAAGUGAGUAAAAUGGUGUCAUAUUCAGACGAGGCUUUAAGGUGAAUUUUAGAUGGAUGUUUUUUCCCUAACCAGAAACUUUUGCCUGAACCUAACCCAAUAGUGUUUUAAAAUAUAAAUGAGAUUUUAAAAAGACAUCCUUACCAAAUAAACCCCUAAACCUAACCAUUAGUUUUUUUUUAUAUGCAGAAGCGAAAUGAAAAAGCACAUUUUCUGAAGAAACUACAUCAUUUUGUGCCACUUCUAUGACUCCAAUUCUGAGUCCAACCUCCUGUCAGAUUGGACCUGCUGGAGCCCAGAGGUUGAACCCUCCCACCGACACUCACCUGUAUUUCCCAAAUACCUCAUUACUUCAUCAGUGCCACUUUGUUAUGAGAACGAUCAUUACUGGGUAUGGCUAAUUAGCAAGCAAUCAAUCAGAGCAUGCAAGCUAACUGGCACCCCCAUUAAGGCCAAGACAUCAGCAGGGAUGGCUGCCUACUGCUUAUAAAUCCAUUUACAUAAAGAUCUGGAUUGAUGAGUGACCUUCCAGAUCAGCUCAGCAUACCUCAACUGCAUUAAAGAUAUGUGCCAUCCUUAAAUGGGUUCAUCAUUGCAACAUAAGUUUGAGUACAAGCAGUGAUGACACCUCAGGCGUCUAGGGUGGAUAAGAGCCGCACCAGUUCUGAAAUUACAAUAAGAACAUGGGCACUCAUGAACAAGCAACUCUACUGGAAUGCGCCAAUUAAUCUCAAGUAUGUUCUUGAUUUGAUCCCAUCGAACCCUGUAUGGAUUGAGUGCUAGUUACUCAAAAAAACAUUUCACCCUCAUAAACACAGAAUGCGUUAUUUGUGUGGACCUCUACUCAAAGUUCAUAUUCUGCUUGCUUUGUUUUUAGGUCCACCUCUCAAUCUUCACCUAUUAUGCCUUGUUUUGCCUUGUCUGAAUGCCUUAAUUUUUUUGUUUUUGUGUUGUUGCAAAGAUAUCCUUUUAUAAGGUAUAUCCUUAUAAAACAUGUUUAAAAAAAAAAAAGAAACACAUUUGGCUUCACCAUGAUAUGAAAUUGCCUAUGUUUGGAAUGGCAUACUAACAUACUACUCUUAUUAUUUCUGCAGUACAUAGUAUGUAUACUGAGCACAGGUUUUAUGCAUUUAAUAUCCAGAUGUCCUAUUACUUUUGCCAAAAUGUGCAGUGUUGAACACACUUGACCUUCCAUUUUCAGUGUGAUGAAGUAAUUACAGACGUGAUUUUAAAACAUCUCUUUUUUUGACUCAUUUCAUCAGACUGCCAAAAAAGAAGACAUUUUAACACAAAAUGUUAUUUAAAAAAAUGCAAAAUAACUAUAUUCGUUUCCAAGAUGAUAACUAGACAGCACUUACAAUGUGCAAUGUGAUGAGAUCAUGUGGCAACAAUGUAGCAUACUGUGUGAAAUGUUGGUAACACUUUCCAAUAAGGUUCUAUUCAUUAACAUUUGUAAAUGCAGUAGUUAUCAUCACUUAACAAUUAACAAUGAUUAUCUACAGCUUGUAUUAAUCUUGGUUAAUGUUUAUCAUACAAAUACAAUGGGUUCAUUGUUAGUUCAUAUUAAUUCAUAAUUUAUUAACCAGUGUUAACAUAGACAACCUUUAAUUUUGAAUUUUUUUAGUAUAUGUUGAAAUUAACAUCAAACCAGAUUAAUAAGUGCUGUAAAAGAGUUGUUAAUUGUUAGUUCAUGUUAACUUAUUAUUGUUAACAAAU
Long non-coding RNA from Myxocyprinus asiaticus (Chinese sucker), 1999 nucleotides. RefSeq lists it as uncharacterized. The transcript is spliced from 3 exons. NCBI's taxonomy places the organism in Eukaryota, Metazoa, Chordata, Actinopteri, Cypriniformes, Catostomidae. The record is from RefSeq and is a predicted model, not a curated record.